UGUAAAAGAUGUGAAGUAUCACAGAUGAGAACUGGAAACAGCAACUGCUGCUUCAAAGGAAGAAGCAAUCACCAAGGGAAGGAAAGUGUGCAAAGGUCACAAUCGCUCGUCUUUGGCUAAAAAUGAUGUAAGAGCUGUAAUAUGCUUCGCCAAGACCAGGCUGACACCUACAUGACAGGAUGUUCACUUUUUGUAUGUAUUCUGUGGUAACCAAUCAGAUCCAUUUGACUGGUUUGACACAUGAGCUUCAUUUCCUUCACUUGCUGAUGAACCAACACAUUAUCAAAGAAGAGACCGAGUCAAGAUGAAGCUGUUUUGGGUUACUCUGCUUCUUUUUCAGCGAGGAUGCACACAUGUUCCAGUGACCACGGUUCAACUCGGUGAACCUGCGACCUUAAAAUGUGCUCUGCCCAAAAUCGAGAUCAGCCACCGAGAACUGAGCUGGUACAAGCAGAGCAACGGGAUACUCUGACGUUAAUGGUGACUGUGCGGAAAGCUAUAAAACCCAUCUUCUCACCAGAGUUCUCAGAGUCAAGAUUUGAGGUCAAAUAUGACCACGACUCCAACAACCUGACCAUCCUGAGAACGAGUGAAGAGGACGAGGGAAUGUAUCACUGUGCGGUCACUGAGUGGAUCAGCAAAACUGAAUGGAGCGGAACUUAUUUGGUCGUCAAAGUAACCAUGUGA
Non-coding RNA from Labrus bergylta (ballan wrasse), 687 nucleotides. NCBI's taxonomy places the organism in Eukaryota, Metazoa, Chordata, Actinopteri, Labriformes, Labridae. The record is from the annotation of a RefSeq genome assembly.